CUUGGCGGCCAUAGCGAUUGUGAACCACCCGAUUCCAUCUCGAACUCGGAAGUGAAACCAUUUAGCGCCAAUGAUAGUGUGGGGCUUCCCCAUGUGAAAGUAGGACACUGCCAAGA
This 116-nucleotide ribosomal RNA is filed under the name Thiotrichales bacterium HSG1. The record is from RNAcentral. Lineage: Bacteria; Pseudomonadati; Pseudomonadota; Gammaproteobacteria; Thiotrichales.